This 839-nucleotide ribosomal RNA is filed under the name uncultured archaeon. RNAcentral's name for it is "bacterial SSU rRNA". It matches the Rfam family "Archaeal small subunit ribosomal RNA", at positions 21 to 859 of the family's 1478-position model. The record is from RNAcentral.
AGGUUACUGCUAUCGGUGUUCGCCUAAGCCAUGCGAGUCAUAUGUUCUUCGUGAACAUGGCGUACUGCUCAGUAACACGUGGAUAACCUGCCCUUGGGUCCGGCAUAACCCCGGGAAACUGGGGAUAAUUCCGGAUAACGCACAUAUGCUGGAAUGCUUUAUGCGUCAAAUGGAUUCGUCCGCCCAAGGAUGGGUCUGCGGCCUAUCAGGUAGUAGUGGGUGUAAUGUACCUACUAGCCUACGACGGGUACGGGUUGUGAGAGCAAGAGCCCGGAGAUGGAUUCUGAGACAUGAAUCCAGGCCCUACGGGGCGCAGCAGGCGCGAAAACUUUACAAUGCGGGAAACCGUGAUAAGGGGACACCGAGUGCCAGCAUCAUAUGUUGGCUGUCCGGGUGUGUAAAAUACACCUGUUAGCAAGGGCCGGGCAAGACCGGUGCCAGCCGCCGCGGUAACACCGGCGGCCCGAGUGGUGAUCGUGAUUAUUGGGUCUAAAGGGUCCGUAGCCGGUUUGGUCAGUCCUCCGGGAAAUCUGACGGCUUAACCGUUAGGCUUUCGGGGGAUACUGCCAGACUUGGAACCGGGAGAGGUAAGAGGUACUACAGGGGUAGGAGUGAAAUCUUGUAAUCCCUGUGGGACCACCUGUGGCGAAGGCGUCUUACCAGAACGGGUUCGACGGUGAGGGACGAAAGCUGGGGGCACGGACCGGAUUAGAUACCCGGGUAGUCCCAGCCGUAAACGAUGCUCGCUAGGUGUCAGGCAUGGCGCGACCGUGUCUGGUGCCGCAGGGAAGCCGUGAAGCGAGCCACCUGGGAAGUACGGCCGCAAGGCUGAAACUUAA